This 520-nucleotide ribosomal RNA is filed under the name uncultured bacterium. RNAcentral's name for it is "bacterial SSU rRNA". It matches the Rfam family "Bacterial small subunit ribosomal RNA", at positions 988 to 1509 of the family's 1533-position model. The record is from RNAcentral.
CCAGAGAACUUAGCAGAGAUGCUUGGUGCCUUCGGGAACUCUGAGACAGGUGCUGCAUGGCUGUCGUCAGCUCGUGUUGUGAAAUGUUGGGUUAAGUCCCGCAACGAGCGCAACCCUUAUCCUUUGUUGCCAGCGGUUCGGCCGGGAACUCAAAGGAGACUGCCGGUGAUAAACCGGAGGAAGGUGGGGAUGACGUCAAGUCAUCAUGGCCCUUACGGCCAGGGCUGCACACGUGCUACAAUGGCGCAUACAAAGAGAAGCGACCUCGCGAGAGCAAGCGGACCUCAUAAAGUGCGUCGUAGUCCGGAUUGGAGUCUGCAACUCGACUCCAUGAAGUCGGAAUCGCUAGUAAUCGUAGAUCAGAAUGCUACGGUGAAUACGUUCCCGGGCCUUGUACACACCGCCCGUCACACCAUGGGAGUGGGUUGCAAAAGAAGUAGGUAGCUUAACCUUCGGGAGGGCGCUUACCACUUUGUGAUUCAUGACUGGGGUGAAGUCGUAACAAGGUAGGCGUAGCGAG